RNAcentral lists this ribosomal RNA (490 nucleotides) under uncultured bacterium. RNAcentral's name for it is "partial 16S ribosomal RNA". It matches the Rfam family "Bacterial small subunit ribosomal RNA", at positions 30 to 507 of the family's 1533-position model. The record is from RNAcentral.
AUUGAACGCUGGCGGCAGGCCUAACACAUGCAAGUCGAACGGUAACAGAAAACAGCUUGCUGCUUUGCUGACGAGUGGCGGACGGGUGAGUAAUGUCUGGGAAACUGCCUGAUGGAGGGGGAUAACUACUGGAAACGGUAGCUAAUACCGCAUAACGUCGCAAGACCAAAGAGGGGGACCUUCGGGCCUCUUGCCAUCGGAUGUGCCCAGAUGGGAUUAGCUUGUAGGUGGGGUAACGGCUCACCUAGGCGACGAUCCCUAGCUGGUCUGAGAGGAUGACCAGCCACACUGGAACUGAGACACGGUCCAGACUCCUACGGGAGGCAGCAGUGGGGAAUAUUGCACAAUGGGCGCAAGCCUGAUGCAGCCAUGCCGCGUGUAUGAAGAAGGCCUUCGGGUUGUAAAGUACUUUCAGCGGGGAGGAAGGGAGUAAAGUUAAUACCUUUGCUCAUUGACGUUACCCGCAGAAGAAGCACCGGCUAACUCCGUG